Molecule: ribosomal RNA, 472 nt
Filed under: uncultured bacterium
Lineage: Bacteria
Description: SSU rRNA
Rfam family: Bacterial small subunit ribosomal RNA
Source: RNAcentral
AGGAUAAACGCUGGCGGCGUGCCUAACACAUGCAAGUCGAACGUCUCUUCUUUCGGGAAGAGGAGUGGCGGACGGGUGAGGAACACGUGGGAACCUGCCCUUUAGUGAGGAAUACCGGCGAGAAAUCGCCGACAAGACCGCAUAGCCCUCUUUGAUGAGAGUCAAAGAAGGAAAGCUUCGCAAGAGGCGCUAGAGGAGGGGCCUGCGUCCGAUUAGCUAGUUGGUGGGGUAAGAGCCUACCAAGGCGUCGAUCGGUAGCUGGUCUGAGAGGACGAUCAGCCACACUGGGAUUGAGAACGGCCCAGACUCCUACGGGGGGCAGCAGUGAGGAAUUUUCGGCAAUGGGGGAAACCCUGACCGAGCAACGCCGCGUGCAGGAAGACGGCCUUCGGGUUGUAAACUGCUUUCUUUGGGUAAGAGAACGGACGGUACCAGAGGAAUCAGCCCCGGCUCACUACGUGCCAGCAGCCGC